UAAGGUGUUUCAGGCACGCAGAUUCAAUUUUCUGCCACCGAAUACAUUAGCAUGGGAUAAUGGAAUAGGACCCUGUCCUCCUAUUUUCAGUUGGUUUUGGCAGCGCGAGGACUAGGGUAAUGAUUAAUAGGGAUAGUUGGGGGCAUUAAUAUUUAAUUGUCAGAGGUGAAAUUCUUGGAUUUAUGAAAGAUUAACUUCUGCGAAAGCAUCUGCCAAGGAUGUUUUCAUUAAUCAAGAACGAAAGUUAGGGGAUCGAAGACGAUCAGAUACCGUCGUAGUCUUAACCAUAAACGAUGCCGACCAGCGAUUAGGAGACGUUGAAUACAAAACACCACCAUCGGCGCGGUCGUCCUUGGCGCGUUCGUGUUCACGCACGGGCGCGCGAGGGCGGCUUAGCCCGGUGGCACCGGUGAAUGACUCCCCUAGCAGCUUUUGUGAGAA
Molecule: ribosomal RNA, 441 nt
Filed under: Acanthamoeba genotype T4
Lineage: Eukaryota; Discosea; Longamoebia; Acanthamoebidae
Description: SSU rRNA
Rfam family: Eukaryotic small subunit ribosomal RNA
Source: RNAcentral